AGCAGUCGCCGGGUAAUACGAAGGGUGCAAGCGUUACUCGGAAUUACUGGGCGUAAAGCGUGCGUAGGUGGUGGUUUAAGUCCGUUGUGAAAGCCCUGGGCUCAACCUGGGAAUUGCAGUGGAUACUGGGUCACUAGAGUGUGGUAGAGGAUAGUGGAAUUUCCGGUGUAGCAGUGAAAUGCGUAGAGAUCGGAAGGAACAUCUGUGGCGAAGGCGACUAUCUGGGCCAACACUGACACUGAGGCACGAAAGCGUGGGGAGCAAACAGGAUUAGAUACCCGUGUAGUCCCUGUCUCUUAUCAC
Molecule: ribosomal RNA, 303 nt
Filed under: uncultured bacterium
Lineage: Bacteria
Description: partial 16S ribosomal RNA
Rfam family: Bacterial small subunit ribosomal RNA
Source: RNAcentral